Molecule: non-coding RNA, 1792 nt
Organism: Poecilia reticulata (guppy)
Lineage: Eukaryota; Metazoa; Chordata; Actinopteri; Cyprinodontiformes; Poeciliidae
Source: RefSeq, a predicted model, not a curated record
AUUUCUCUCACAUGCUACUGUAACUAGAUUUAUUUUUUCCCCUUCUCAGUCUCUACUUUCUUACUCUUAACCAUAACUGGAGCAGAGGAUUUGAUCAGAUUAGCUGGUUCAGAUGGGUAUUGCUCUGGAAGAGUCGAAAUCUACCACAACGUUGCCCGGGGAACGGUCUGUGACGAUAGAUGGGACAGAAGUGAGGCACAAGUUGUUUGCAGACAGUUGGGUUGUGGAGAGCAGUCAGAUAUUCCUCCACCAGGCUACUUUGGUCCGGGCACUGGACCGAUCUGGAUGGACGAUGUGAGCUGUUCAGGAAGCGAAACGUCUCUUUCCACUUGUUCGCAUCGGGGAUUUGGAACACACAACUGUGAACACUAUGAGGAUGUUGGUGUCAUUUGUUCAUAUCAUAAAAUCCUACCAUAUGGGUCAUGCAAUGGAAAUGUUCAAAUAUAUCAUGGCGGCGCCUGGAGGCUGAUUGAUAAUAAUAACUUCAACAUGAAUGCUGCUAAUGUGGCCUGCAGACAGAUGGGUUGUGGUCCAGCAUCAUCAAUCUAUUAGCUACAACCCCAACUCCAACAUCUCUUUAUGAGAUGACUUGCUCUGGAAGUGAAAGUUCUCUAGCAGAAUGUCAAAGUGGUUCUGUGGUAACCAGCUCUGGAACAUAUUCUGGUGUUCGGUGUGCAGGUCACCCAGUAUAAUUAAUCGGGCCGUCCCGGUGCUCUGGAAGAGUUGAAAUUUACUACAGUUAUGCAUGGGAAAUGGUGUGCGAUAAUGGCUGGGACAUGAAUGAUGCCCAGGUGGUCUUCAGACAGUUGGGUUGUGGUACAGCGCUGGCUGCUCCUCACUCUGCCUACUUCGGAAAAGGAAUGAAUAAAAUCUGGGUUGAUAAUGUGAGCUGUACAGGGAGGGAAACGUACCUCACUGAAUGUCCAUUUAGUGGAUUUCAAGCAUACAGCUGCAGCCACAGUCAGGAUGCAGGUGUCAUCUGUUCAGGCCUGAUAAAACCCACGAUCACAAUAAAUCCUCAGUGACAUUAGCUUUGGUCAGAAUGUCAGCAUCACUUGUUUGGUCCCCGAUGGAUAAGUAGGGGGAACGUUCAUCUUCAAUCGGACCUCGGAUGGUUUUGGUCAGACCGUAGAGUCGAACAGCGACUCUGGAACAUUUUACAUCCCUCAAAUUGGUUUUGAGCAAGAGGGAAACUAUCAUUGUCAGUUUCACAUAAGGGUUGCUAAUGAGAACUUCAGCACAUACAUUAGCAACCCUGUUCAGCUAUAUUCAAAAGUAGUCCUUCCACAACCCACCAUCUCCUUGGAUCCAGCUGGUGUGAUUACUUGGGGUCAGCUUGUUGCCAUCACUUGUUCCAUCUCAACACCGUUUUUAAAUGGGUCGUUCAUUCUACAGAAAUACCAACCAGAUUCUUAUCAAAACAUUAAGACCCAGUCGUCAAGCACCAACUCUUCCACACUCAGAUUUCUUGAAGUCAACUCUGAUCAUGUGGGAAAUUACAAGUGUUAUUAUGAAAAAACAGUUGCAUCUCGAACUCUUACUUCCCCUUUAAGUGAGAAUGUUAAACUUUCUAUUACUGGUAGUUAAACCGAUGGACACAAAAAUGGAUUUAUGCGACUUUCCUGAUAUUGUCUUUUUUUUAAGAUUGUACCUUUUGUUUUGGCAUUAUUCUUGCUUAGAUUCCCAAGUCACUCAAUGUUUCCCAGCUCUGAAAAAAAUACACCCAUCCUGGUAGUUUCUGUAUAUAACUCAUAAUUAUUGUGAAAUAUUAAUGAUAAAGAAUUUGUUAAUU